GAUAAACGCUGGCGGCGCACAUAAGACAUGCAAGUCGAACGGACUUAACUCAUUCUUUUAGAUUGAGAGCGGUUAGUGGCGGACUGGUGAGUAACACGUAGCAACCUGCCUAUUAGGAGGGAAUAACAGUGAGAAAUCAUUGCUAAUACCGCAUAUGCUAACAGUAUCGCAUGAUACAGUUAGGAAAGGAGCAAUCCGCUAAUAGAUGGGCUUGCGUCUGAUUAGCUAGUUGGUGGGGUAACGGCCUACCAAGGCGACGAUCAGUAGCCGGACUGAGAGGUUGAACGGCCACAUUGGGACUGAGAUACGGCCCAG
Molecule: ribosomal RNA, 315 nt
Filed under: uncultured bacterium
Lineage: Bacteria
Description: bacterial SSU rRNA
Rfam family: Bacterial small subunit ribosomal RNA
Source: RNAcentral